This 465-nucleotide ribosomal RNA is filed under the name Vreelandella stevensii. Its description in RNAcentral is "partial 16S ribosomal RNA". It matches the Rfam family "Bacterial small subunit ribosomal RNA", at positions 338 to 795 of the family's 1533-position model. The record is from RNAcentral. Lineage: Bacteria; Pseudomonadati; Pseudomonadota; Gammaproteobacteria; Oceanospirillales; Halomonadaceae.
CCUACGGAGGGCAGCAGUGGGGAAUAUUGGACAAUGGGGGGAACCCUGAUCCAGCCAUGCCGCGUGUGUGAAGAAGGCCCUCGGGUUGUAAAGCACUUUCAGUGAGGAAGAACGCCUGGUGGUUAAUACCCAUCAGGAAAGACAUCACUCACAGAAGAAGCACCGGCUAACUCCGUGCCAGCAGCCGCGGUAAUACGGAGGGUGCGAGCGUUAAUCGGAAUUACUGGGCGUAAAGCGCGCGUAGGUGGCUUGAUAAGCCGGUUGUGAAAGCCCCGGGCUCAACCUGGGAACGGCAUCCGGAACUGUCAAGCUAGAGUGCAGGAGAGGAAGGUAGAAUUCCCGGUGUAGCGGUGAAAUGCGUAGAGAUCGGGAGGAAUACCAGUGGCGAAGGCGGCCUUCUGGACUGACACUGACACUGAGGUGCGAAAGCGUGGGUAGCAAACAGGAUUAGAUACCCUUGUAGUC